RNAcentral lists this transfer RNA (74 nucleotides) under Schistocerca gregaria. Its description in RNAcentral is "transfer RNA isoleucine (anticodon AAU)". It matches the Rfam family "tRNA". Rfam says of the family: Transfer RNA (tRNA) molecules are approximately 80 nucleotides in length. Their secondary structure includes four short double-helical elements and three loops (D, anti-codon, and T loops). RNAcentral also lists the same sequence under 1 other name. The record is from RNAcentral. Lineage: Eukaryota; Metazoa; Arthropoda; Insecta; Orthoptera; Acrididae.
GGCCCGUUAGCUCAGUUGGUUAGAGCGUCGUGCUAAUAACGCGAAGAUCGUGGGUUCGAUCCCCCCACGGGCCA